Molecule: ribosomal RNA, 208 nt
Filed under: uncultured Gardnerella sp.
Lineage: Bacteria; Bacillati; Actinomycetota; Actinomycetes; Bifidobacteriales; Bifidobacteriaceae
Description: partial 16S ribosomal RNA
Rfam family: Bacterial small subunit ribosomal RNA
Source: RNAcentral
GCUCUUGGAAACGGGUGGUAAUGCUGAUGCUCCAACUUGACGCAUGUCUUGUUGGGAAAGUGUUUAGUGGCAUGGGAUGGGGUCGCGUCCUAUCAGCUUGUAGGCGGGGUAAUGGCCCACCUAGGCUUCGACGGGUAGCCGGCCUGAGAGGGCGGACGGCCACAUUGGGACUGAGAUACGGCCCAGACUCCUACGGGAGGCAGCAGCC